Molecule: non-coding RNA, 45 nt
Filed under: Trichobilharzia regenti
Lineage: Eukaryota; Metazoa; Platyhelminthes; Trematoda; Strigeidida; Schistosomatidae
Source: RNAcentral
AUCCAACUGACGAGUCCAAACUAGGACGAAAUGCGCAUCCUGGAU